UACGGAGGGUGCAAGCGUUAUCCGGAUUUACUGGGCUUAAAGGGUGCGUAGGCGGGUCAUUAAGUCAGUGGUGAAAGCUCCGAGCUUAACUCGGAAACUGCCAUUGAUACUAUUGGUCUUGAAUUCGGUCGAGGUUGGCGGAAUGCGUCGUGUAGCGGUGAAAUGCUUAGAUAUGACACAGAACACCGAUUGCGAAGGCAGCUAGCUAGACCGACAUUGACGCUGAGGCACGAAAGCGUGGGGAUCAAACAGG
This 253-nucleotide ribosomal RNA is filed under the name uncultured bacterium. Its description in RNAcentral is "partial 16S ribosomal RNA". It matches the Rfam family "Bacterial small subunit ribosomal RNA", at positions 524 to 776 of the family's 1533-position model. The record is from RNAcentral.